UUGCAGCAUAGGAACUUAGACAACCUUUAAUAUACAUAUAAACCUUGGGUCAUACCUGCGUCGUAAUAAUUCAUUAUUGAUUUUCACGAAGAAUUUUAUUUAAACUCAACUAAAGUUUUUAUUUUAUUACAUUAUAACUUUUUUACUCAUCACGUCACGUCUCAUGUCUCCUCCAUUUUGAUUUUUUGCGAAUUUAACGAUUUUUCUGGUUAUUGUAUAAAAUUUAAAUUUGUUCACUUUUUCAAAAAUUUUUCAACAUUUCAAAACGUUUUUUAAGAUGAUUACAUCUGUUAGCUUCGCCUGUUGACAUUUUCGGCUGAGGAUGGAGUUGUAAACUUCGAAACCGGUCCCGAUUAAAAUAUUUAUGCAAGUGCAAAGUUAACCUAUUUUGUUUUAUU
Molecule: long non-coding RNA, 398 nt
Organism: Onthophagus taurus
Lineage: Eukaryota; Metazoa; Arthropoda; Insecta; Coleoptera; Scarabaeidae
Source: RefSeq, a predicted model, not a curated record